GAUUCAGUAGCUCAGCUGGUAGCAUUUGAAAGACGAGCGCAAGCGAGGCUUUUAAAUGCCUUGGAGCGACAACACUUUUAAUGUUGGGGUCCUGGGUUCGAGCCCCAGGCGGAUCA
This 116-nucleotide transfer RNA is filed under the name Bacteroidales bacterium. RNAcentral describes it as "tRNA-Lys". Lineage: Bacteria; Pseudomonadati; Bacteroidota; Bacteroidia; Bacteroidales. The record is from RNAcentral.